GCGUGGAUGCUUGACGGCAACGGAUGCGAGUGUCAGACAGCAGGUGGAAACUGACAGAAAGCGAACCGACCACAAAAUCUACAGCACAUUUGAUGAGGAAAAACAUGAAUUAUCAGUGACCUGGUCGGUUCUGAAUGCACGGGACUCGAUAGUGCAAACCAUGGUGGACCCUCUGGAACCUGAUGACCAGAGCAAAUUCAGAGGGCCCGGGUUUGAAACCCCUACUGCAGCCUCUGAAGCCCCUCCUCUACCUGAUACAGGUGAUGGCAGCGAGAAAGAUGUUAGUCUGGAUCCCUGCCCACAGACAGAGGUCAAUUCUGAGCCUGUACCAAGCCCUCAGGACCUAUGUCAACAACACAGUCAACCGGAAGAGCAAAAACUACAUCUGGAUCUUUAUAAUUUUGAUACUCCAGCAGCAGAAGGCAGUCGGUAUGUACUAACAAGCCCUCGCUCACUUGAGGCAUGCGCACGCUGUGGAGUGAAACCUGUGGAACUUCUGCCACGUCCACUGUCGGAUUUUGCCCGGGAGGCACCAGGACGCAGCAUGCGUGUCGCCACAGGAAUGUUCGAGAUAUACGAGAGAGAUAGACAUGCUAAACUUCGACAGUGCAGGGAAGAGAGAGAGCGGAUUAUCAGAGAAGAGAAGAGACGAAUUCUGCAGGCUGCUAUCAACAAUAAUAGUAGUCCACUGGGUUCAGAGAAGUCAAAGGAAACUGUAAAUGCUGGAUUGUCUGAGCAGAACAAUAACAGUUUAACAACUUCUAACCCAGCCCCCCAAAAGCUAUCUGCUUGCACUGGUGUACCCAAAAAGAAAACCGUAAUAUCUAAAAGCACAACACAAGAACAAGGACAGUUAACAAAAGUGUCCACAUCCAGCUCUCCUCCUGUCUCAAAACCUAGUACAGUAAACAUUGCUAAUACUGCUAAAGUAACUUCUGCAAAAAAAUCCAAGUCCCUCGAAACUGAAUCUGAUAAAAAAACUCAAGGAGCAAAGGCUUCAGUAAUCCAAAGGUCAGUACAGUCUGAUCCAGCAGGUCAGGGCCCCAAGAGACUCUCCAGUACUCCCACAAAAGCUGCAAAUACUUUCCCCAGAUCAAUACCUAAACCCUCCUCUUUUCCAAGAACAGCGACUUCACUUGCUCCAGUAGUGUCAAAAUCUGCUAUCCAAAGUCCAGCCAAUGGCAUCACCAGUCCAUUUGCACAGCACAACGGACACAUUCUUUCCAAAUCAAGGGUUAGAUGCAGAAGCCACUCUCUAGAGUCUUUGCAAAGGAGACGAGAAAAAUGUUGCUCCUCUACUGCUUCAACAACUAACACUACAACUACCACAUGUACCUCUUCAGAAUCUGCUUCCUCGUCCUAUAGCUGGGAUGGGACAAGAGAUCACUGGGAUAAGACAUCAAGCCCUCGUGCCCGCACUUUAGCCACCUUUAACUCCUUGAUGGGUCGCAGUCUGAGCUUGGGAGACCUUAGUCACUCUUUACAGACAACUCAAAAAGUGGAACGCAUUGUAAAGGAGGUCAAACGCAGGGGACUUAAAGCUGUUCCCGAACGUGACCGAAAGAUUGCUGCAUUAAUGCUAGCCAAGUACCAAGAGGAGGACAUAAUGAGCCAGACGCGCUACGUAGCACAUCUGCAAUGGGACAGCGAGCGGCGACUAGAGGAGCUACGACGAGAACGUGAAGACCGUGAGAAACAGAGAGCUGUACAGCAGUGUCAACGAGCUUGGCAGUCACAAGUUUCUACCCGGCAGCGCUGGCUCAACCAGCAGGAGCGAGAGGCCACGGAGGCAAAACUUCGUCAAGUGGCGGAAAGUGAGGAACGUUGGCGAGAGCUGGCCGAGCAACAAGAGCGCAGCAGGCUGCAGAAGCUGCAACAGGCCACUCGUGAGGAAAAACACAAGAAGGCACUGCAGGAGCAGAACCUCAAAUCUCUGGAGGAGGAGCGAUCUGCUACACUUGAGCAGGAGAAACUUCUCCUGAAGGAGAAACUGACCAUCGCCGAGCUGAAGCGUCAGGAACGAGAGCACCAAAUCCAAGAGGAGCGUCGCGGACUCAACCGCGCUGAAAAGAGACGACACGCAGCUCUCAUUCAAGAAAUUGCACGACGUGAAGUGGACGAGCGAGAGGAAGCGAGGAGAAUUGCAGAACAGAAGCUGAACAGGUCCCAGGAGAACUAUGAACAGAUACAGGAACGGCGUGGGCAAGAGUUAAAGGAGAAAGCUAAGCGAGAAGAGAAGCAGAUCCAGAAAGCACGGCGGGCCGCCGAGUCACGUGAACAGCAGCAGAAGGAGCAGACAGAGGCAAAGGCUAAAGAAGCUGAAAAACGAGCACAACAAGCUGCACAAAUAGCCGAAGAGCGGGCACGGGAGAAGGCCCAACGCGCAGUGCAGAGCAGACAAGAGAAGGAACGACUUCAAAGGCUUAACCGUCAGCGUGUAGAGGAGGAGGAAAAACAGAGGCGACUCGAAUUGCUGCAGUCUAUCGAACGCAAACUGGAAAAAAGUGAACAGAUUUUCAGAGAAAAGCGAGCGGUGUUGGAAAGUGCCCGGUUGGUGGCACGCGCCUCUUUCCACGUGCGGGAUCGCGUUCGCGAAGAGACUAAUAUGCGCACCUUUGACAAGAUGGCCCUGGAGGCUCAGUUAAAAGCAAACUUAAUUGAGAAGUGAGCACUUUAGCAGUGAAACGUUCACUCUUUUCGUGCACAUAUGUUUAGAAAUAAGCUGUGCUUCAGCCUACAUGCUUGCCUCAUCCCUAGACUACAACAAGACGGUCAUGCCCUCAAGUGUUGUACAGAGAUUCAUAUAUUUAUUCCUUUAAUCCUGAUGCUGGAUCAUUUUCAUCAUCUCAUUUAAAGAUUUGUUUUCUGUAUUUUUAUCAUUUAAAUGUUAUAUGAAGACCUUUCUGCUUAUGUGUGAAUGGUCUUAUGUUGGGCAUGAUUGUUUUCGUAACUUGGCAAGCGUGUUGCAUUGAGAACUGUACAGUAUAUAAAGAGUUCAUUGUUUACAAGCAAGCUUGGCACUAUGGCAACAGUGAAUGCUCUCUAUAGUGGCAGUGAAGAAGCAGAGGGGAUAGGGUUCUUUAACAAAAAUAAAUUGUUUGUGGGAGACUCCUGUUCUCCUGAAUCUACUGUAUCUGUAGGCUGCAGUAGGGUGAGCCCUGACUUGACAGUCUGUAAACCAGACUAGUGAAAUGCUGAAUAAGCGUUACACCCUAGAAUAAGAACAUGUCAACAAAUUAUGUCAGUACAGUGUAACUGCUGAUAAAGCACAGGAGUCUUUGGUCAGCAACAGAACCGUCAGUUCACAAAAUCACACUGACAUCCCCUGCAUUCCUUCAGGUUUGGCAGUGACGAAGGUGGUGUUGACAUCUGAGGGCCGAUUCAGUUUAAUAACCCCUCAUAGACUGCAAAUGACAUUUCACUUUGAUCACAGGCCCUAAUUCCCUUGUGGCAAUGACUCAGCUAUGCAUGACGUAAUUGGAAGUGUUAAUAACACUGAAGCCAUUUUACCUCCAGCAUCUCCAAAUAAACAUAUCAACACCCUUUUUUAAGAGCAUAAAAGGCCCAAAUAAGUCAUGUCAUGUACAUUUAUGUAUCACUGAAUAAAUUAGAGGGCUUUUAAAAAUGAGAAUGAAACAGUGAUGCCGAUUAAUCAGUAAUGAUCAACAAUUCCUGCCUAGGUUUUAUUACUCAUCAUCUCAAGGUUGUAGUGGAACCUUAACAGGUUCAUGCAUGAAUCAUAUUUUUUUUACAUCUACCAAUGACUAAGAAAUAGUAAACUACAGGUUUAUAACACAAUGAUUGAUUAAGGGUUAGAAGAUUAAGACCUGUAUGCUGUAGGUCUUAUGCUAAAUGUCUGCAUACUGAUUUUAGCUGUAAACUUUGCCAGCCAUGCCAUGAUGAUUGUAGCAUUCUUAGUUGGAGUGUAAAAGUUUUAUCAAAGAUUUUACAUUAUGGUUUAUGUAUUUUAGUUUGGUUUGGUUAAUUAUCAUCACCAUUAAAAUGUUUUCUGAUGGCAAAAAGCGCUGUUUUUUACCAAGCAGCUUGGUAAAAAGGACUUGCAGGUUGAAAUUUGAAGAUGGCGGAAUAAAAACA
This is an RNA transcript of Triplophysa rosa, 4095 nucleotides long. It is a transcript of the gene named coiled-coil domain containing 177, with no coding region annotated. NCBI's taxonomy places the organism in Eukaryota, Metazoa, Chordata, Actinopteri, Cypriniformes, Nemacheilidae. The transcript has 3 exons. The record is from RefSeq and is a predicted model, not a curated record.